Molecule: long non-coding RNA, 2822 nt
Organism: Lolium rigidum
Lineage: Eukaryota; Viridiplantae; Streptophyta; Magnoliopsida; Poales; Poaceae
Exons: 15
Source: RefSeq, a predicted model, not a curated record
GCUCUCCUCGCCAAUCGGAUACAACCUCCCAUGGCGUCUCUCUGCUCCAGCUCGAGCUCAACGCCCCGACAGUUGGUCAACUUCCCUUGCCGCCGCCCCACCUACACACGCCCGGAACAGGAGAUGUAUUUAGGAGACGAGGUGGAAGACAAGAUGUGUUGUGGAUUCCUUUACCGUGCACACAACCACAUACUCCAGCGCUUCUCGCCGCCACGCCGGAGGGCUGCGCCUCGCCUUGACGGCGAGCGCGCCAUGGAUGCUUCUCCCAGCCCUCCAAACGCCCGGACUAGAUGCCGUCCGUCUCUGCCCCUUCUCCGAACGCCCCAAGGAAGUCCAUCUCGAGGUCCAGCCCAAGCACAACCUUCUCCUCCAGCUAGAUGUGGCCUGAGAUCUCUGCCGGAGCUUGCAGCGCGGUUGUCUCUGUCGGGGCGGCUCCAAUGUUCAGCUCGGAUGGAUGACAAUGGGCGUGUCAAAAUUAAGUGCAAGCUAGUCUGAAAUUCUGAUUAAGCAGCUUCACGCAACAAGGCCCUGGUGGCGGUCUAAUAUCUGAUAGAAAAUGGUGGUCUAAGAUCUGCACCACAAGGCCCUGGUGGCGGCAUGCAACAGCCUAAGUUUCCAGGGAAUUGAGAAGGUGUAUUAACUGAUCUGCAAUGAUGCUGUCCCUCUAAUCCGUAAUGUGUUUGUUUAGCUUCUGAACAUGUGGAAGGCGAGGAAGGAAACGAAAAUGCUGCGGUUGAUAAUGUAGUUCCAGACCCUAAUGUACCAGCAGGCAUGGAGGUGGAGGAUUGACGGUUAUUUGUCACUUUGUCAAGUUGUUUUUAUUCUGCUUGUCUGGAUUGCAAUCUGGAUAAGUUCCGAUAUUGUUUGAUAUUGUUUAAAUUGCUGAUGUCGAUGUGACAGAGGAACCAGUGGUGCAAUGGUGUGUAGCAAGGCAAAUGAUUGACAUAUAAAUAUCUAAUAAUUUCGGUACAAAAUUCGCAGCUAUGUGCGCCGAAGAAAUUAUUACCGAGGCUUUGUACCACUGGUUGAGCAGAAGGCUACUCAUUUGAUUGAAGAAACAAAUGAAGAUGUUGAGACAAAAGUGCAAGAAUAUGUUGCCCCUGUUGAGGGAGUCGGCGAAGCUAGAGGCGGGUCAAGGUACAUAAAGAGCACAAGACACUUCAGGAAGGGUAACUGUACUUGCGGCAACAACAAAAUCAGGGUGAUAUGGAUGAAGGAAAAGAUCAGAGCAGCGACUGUUUAAAAAUUUCAUGGGAGGAAGCUGAUUUUGCAUCUACGGAAAUCAUAGAGAAGGCGAUGGAGUCAUCGUCGAGCUUGGCAGCACCUCUCCGCGUGGAGGAAGCCCGAAGUAGGCCAGGAGGCCCCGACCGUCCAUGACCGUCCAUGCGAGAAAGCCCGAAGCUCUCUCACGUGCGCCUCCACCAGAUCGCGUUCUCUCCCUGGAUCCAAUUGCGCCGCCGCCACUACCACCCACCUCGCUGGACAACCAUCCCCUCCCACGGCCAGCAGGUCCUCCGAAGCUCAUGAGCUGCUUGUCCGCUUCCACUCCUCCCUGGACUACUCUGUGAAGUCUGAUGGUUCCGGCGGCUCGUUGGCCUGGAUUUGGCCUACCAUCAUGACAGACGCCACAGAUUGGAUUUGGAAGGUCAUUGACAUUGGGAAUUACAAUUUUGUGCCUAACUGAGGUCUUGUGUGUCAACUACCUAGCUAGGUUCCUCAUUGUCUAUGAACUUCAUGAAGGUGAAGCUUGGAUGAUUUAGCUCUUGGCACUGGCCUGCUUGUCUCAGGCUUCAAACAUGUAGGAGACUUAUGUGCCACUUCUGUACAUGCAGAUCAGCCAUGACGGCCAGUAAAACAGAUGAAGGUGUGAUGGGACUUGCAUGUUGAGUGGUUGACUCCAAUUUCAGCACGAGGAUGUGUGAGUCCUGAUGUGCCUGCAUGUGCUGCAUUGGGUAUCCUUAGGUUGGUGCUGGUUAUUUUUAUAGACGUAUGCAAGUCAUUCUUUCUAAUGAAAAUCGCUACGCUUAAUGUCUUUGAUGCAAGUUGAUCGGAUGUAUUUUCAAAGCGGUGAAGCAGGCCUGUAAAUUUACCAAAGAACAUCUUCUUAAAAAUGGACCAACUCUGGAGAUUAGUUGAUGCUCUGCUUCAACACAGUUGGUUUUGCUACUGGUACGACCUGAUCCAGUUCGUGAAUCUACUGAAGCUUCUCAUCGCCACCCCAUGCGAGAUCUUAUCGUCCUGCGCCAUCUAUGGGCGAGUCUCUACCUCUGGUGUGAUGCCAUCCGUAACCCCCUCUCCUGCACCGAGGGUCUCGGUACUGCACAGCUCACAGCCACUGCCAGCUAGCUUCAUAUGUCCUGUUAUCUAAUGUAAAAUAUGAAGUUAUGGCACAUGCUAAUGGAAAGAAGUUACUACCAGGAAAGUUUUGCUACCUGCUAAAUAAAAUACACGCAUGGUGUAUACUAUUCGGCCAAUAUACACCCAUUGAAACUUGGAGAUCAUGUAACAGCCUCCGCUCCAUUUCCCUCUCAUUUUUAAUGGGAAAACCCCGAAGGCCUCCUCCCUGUUUUUGUGUCUACAUGCACUGUCAUUACACCUUCUGAAGGUCCACAGAUUUGAAUGUUGACAACAAGCUCUAGGUUUCCACUUCCCGUGGUGCAAGAUGUAAAAUGACAGCUUUUAGUUUCUUAAUAGAGAUGAUAUUUGUAUUUGCUCAUAAAGAUCUUUUUUGACUCUGCUUCACUUUGAUCCUAUUUCUGCUUGUAUAUGUACAGUUACACGCCAUGGCUGUGGCCAAUGUCUAUUUGUGGUAGAAGAAUGAA